GACGAACGCUGGCGGCGUGCUUAACACAUGCAAGUCGAACGGAAAGGCCCUGCUUUUGUGGGGUGCUCGAGUGGCGAACGGGUGAGUAACACGUGAGUAACCUGCCCUUGACUUUGGGAUAACUUCAGGAAACUGGGGCUAAUACCGGAUAGGAGCUCCUGCUGCAUGGUGGGGGUUGGAAAGUUUCGGCGGUUGGGGAUGGACUCGCGGCUUAUCAGCUUGUUGGUGGGGUAGUGGCUUACCAAGGCUUUGACGGGUAGCCGGCCUGAGAGGGUGACCGGCAACAUGGGGACUGAGAGACGGCCCAGACUCCUAGGGGAGGCAGAAGGGGGGAAUAUUGAACAAGGGGCGGAAGCCUGAUGCAGCAACGCGGCGUGCGGGAUGACGGCCUUCGGGUUGUAAACCGCUUUCGCCUGUGACGAAGCGUGAGUGACGGUAAGGGGUAAAGAAGCACCGGCUAACUACGUG
This 468-nucleotide ribosomal RNA is filed under the name uncultured bacterium. Its description in RNAcentral is "partial 16S ribosomal RNA". It matches the Rfam family "Bacterial small subunit ribosomal RNA", at positions 28 to 507 of the family's 1533-position model. The record is from RNAcentral.